UCUGAUUCCACCUCAUUCCCGGAUUGAUCAAAAGCCUCUGACGAAACUAAUCACCCUACCGCCACCAAGCCAAGUCAAGUAUGUGCGGUACGCCUUCCAAAUCCCGUCCAAGUAACUGAACAGUUGCGAGCAGAGCAGAGUUAGUUUAACCCCGUAAGGACCAAACUUCUAGAAUAAAAGGGAAUCAUGACAUGUCACACAGAAGGCUUAACAGAAGACAACUCACCAUCGGAACCUCUUGCCGCUGAAGGCCAGGAUGCCGUAUCCAACCGGACGUCGCACAAGACCAGGCGAAUGGCGCCUACAACUGUAGAUCCACAUCAUGAGGUCUCACCCAGACAGUGGGCGACCAUCUUGGUGACCUGGAACGAGAAAACACUCUGGGUAGGCCGUCCGACUGAGUCCUGGCUGCCCUACUCUCUUGCUGUGGCUGGCCUCCUGACCCUUACAGCCAUGACUGUGCCCCACCAUCC
Non-coding RNA from Pelobates cultripes (western spadefoot toad), 473 nucleotides. Lineage: Eukaryota; Metazoa; Chordata; Amphibia; Anura; Pelobatidae. The record is from the annotation of a GenBank genome assembly.